This is a long non-coding RNA of Gallus gallus (chicken), 1623 nucleotides long. The record is from Ensembl. Lineage: Eukaryota; Metazoa; Chordata; Aves; Galliformes; Phasianidae.
CUCCUGGCCUGCCAUUGCCUUGUUUGGCCUUGCCUUGCCUGGCCUGUCUGGGCACAGCCUUACUUUGUCUGGCCAGGCCUUGGCUGGCCUAGUUUUGUCUGGCCUGGCCUGGCCUGGCCUCGCCUGCCCUCGUGUCACCUGGACUCUCCUGGCCGUGCGUGUACUGGCCUGACCUUGCAUGGACUGGCCUUGCCUUGCCUGGCCUGUCCGGGCAUGGCCUUACUUUGUCUGGCCAGGCCUUUCCUGGCCUAGUUUUGCCUGGCCUGGCCUGGCCUGUUCUGUCCUGUCCUGUCCUUGCCUGUCUUCGUGUCACCUGGCCUCUCCUGGCCAUUCGUGUACUGGCCUGACCUUGCGUGGCCUGGCCUUGCCUUGCCUCGCUUUGUCUAGCCUGCUCUGCCCUGGCCUGGUCUCUCCUCGUCUCACCUGGCCUGCCCUGCUCUGGCCUGCCCUCCGUGGCCUGGCCUGGACUUGCCUUGCCUUUCCAUGCCUCUCCCUCUCCCUCUCCUUCUCCCUCUCCCUCUCCCUCUCCCUCACCCUCUCCGUCUCCCUGUCCCUUUCCCUUUCUGUUUCCCUCCUUGCCUUGCCUUGCCUUGCCUUGCCUUGCCUUGCCUGGCCUGGCCUGGCCUGGCCUGGCCUGGCCUGGCCUGGUGUUUCCUGGCCUGGCCUUGCCUUGCCUUGCCUUCCUUCACCUGGCCUUUUCUUGUCUCGCCUGGACUCGCCUCGCCUUGCCUGGUCUGGCAUCACCUAGCCUCAUCUGACCUUUGCUUACCUCGCCUAAACUUGCCUGGCCUUUCCUCUCCAUGCCUUACCUGGACUGGCCUGGCCAUGCCUGGACUGCCUUGGCCUGUCCUGGUCUGGCCUUGACUUGCCUUGCCCCGCCUGGCUGUGCCUGGCCUGGGCUGGCCUGUCCUGACCUGGCAUGGACUGGAAAGGCCAGGCAAGUUUAGGCGAGGUAAGCAAAGGUCAGAUGAGGCUAGGUGAUGCCAGACCAGGCAAGGCGAGGCGAGUCCAGGCGAGACAAGAAAAGGCCAGGUGAAGGAAGGCAAGGCAAGGCAAGGCCAGGCCAGGAAACACCAGGCCAGGCGAGGCCAGGCAAGGCCAGGCCAGGCCAGGCAAGGCAAGGCAAGGCAAGGCAAGGCAAGGCAAGGCAAGGCAAGGCAAGGAGGGAAACAGAAAGGGAAAGGGAUAGGGAGAGGGAGAGGGAGAGGGAGAGGGAGAGGCAUGGAAAGGCAAGGCAAGUCCAGGCCAGGCCACGGAGGGCAGGCCAGAGCAGGGCAGGCCAGGUGAGACGAGAAGAGACCAGGCCAGGGCAGAGCAGGCUAGACAAGGCGAGGCAAGGCAAGGCCAGGCCACGCAAGGUCAGGCCAGUACACGAACGGCCGGGAGAGGCCAGGUGACACGAAGACAGGCAAGGACAGGACAGGACAGAACAGGCCAGGCCAGGCCAGGCAAAACUAGGCCAGGAAAGGCCUGGCCAGACAAAGUAAGGCCAUGCCCGGACAGGCCAGGCAAGGCAAGGCCAAACAAGGCAAUGGCAGGCCAGGAGAGGUUAGGAAAGGCCAGGCUAACCUAGGAUAGGCCUGGCCAGGCCAGGCAAAAAAAGGCAAGGCAAGUCCAGGACAG